AGACCAACUUGGUAUGUUAUUGGUAUGAGCUUUCGUGUGCAUGCACGCUUCUUCAAAUACAAAGAAGAUUGGUAUCUGAAGAAGUGUGCAUCACAUAAAAGCUCAUACCAAUAACAAACUUAGUUGG
Molecule: microRNA precursor, 127 nt
Filed under: Podarcis lilfordi (Lilford's wall lizard)
Lineage: Eukaryota; Metazoa; Chordata; Lepidosauria; Squamata; Lacertidae
Source: RNAcentral